Molecule: ribosomal RNA, 358 nt
Filed under: uncultured bacterium
Lineage: Bacteria
Description: bacterial SSU rRNA
Rfam family: Bacterial small subunit ribosomal RNA
Source: RNAcentral
AAUUCUGUGUGCACGAUGACGGUCUUAGGAUUGUAAAGUGCUUUCAAUCGGGAAAAAGAAAGUGAUGGUACCGAUAGAAGAAGCGACGGCUAAAUACGUGCCAGCAGCCGCGGUAAUACGUAUGUCGCAAGCGUUAUCCGGAUUUAUUGGGCGUAAAGCGCGUCUAGGCGGUUUGGUAAGUCUGAUGUGGAAAUGCGGGGCUCAACUCCGUAUUGCGUUGGAAACUGCCAGACUAGAGUACUGGAGAGGUGGGCGGAACUACAAGUGUAGAGGUGAAAUUCGUAGAUAUUUGUAGGAAUGCCGAUAGAGAAGUCAGCUCACUGGACAGAUACUGACACUGAAGCGCGAAAGCAUGGGG